CAGAAGUGACAGAUCCUAUGCUUCCUUGUCACUCCCAAAGAGAACCUCAGCAUCUUCAUCUCUACUACCUCCUGCUCUAUGAGAGGUCGACUGGGGUGCCAGGAAGAGUCGGGGGACGCGGAACGUUUAGAGGACCAAGAUGAUGUUUUACUGACCCUGUGUCUUGUCAGCUUCUGGUUUUGUUUCUGGUCAUCAUCUUCACCAACCCUGCCUAUCUGCAGCAGGGCAGGAGAAUGGGAGGGGCCGGCUCAGUACUUCCUGCUUAAAUAUAUGAGUGAUGUCACUGAUUGUCUGGCUGGGUUCUACCAAUUAGAGGGUUUCUUUUGGAGUAUUGCUUUGUUUUUCUUUAAAGUAACUUUUUGACUUCUUUUGUAUUACCUG
This is a long non-coding RNA of Fundulus heteroclitus (mummichog), 381 nucleotides long. RefSeq lists it as uncharacterized. The transcript is spliced from 3 exons. The record is from RefSeq and is a predicted model, not a curated record. NCBI's taxonomy places the organism in Eukaryota, Metazoa, Chordata, Actinopteri, Cyprinodontiformes, Fundulidae.